This 111-nucleotide microRNA precursor is filed under the name Arabidopsis lyrata. Its description in RNAcentral is "miR395b stem-loop (aly-MIR395b)". Its record names the gene aly-MIR395b. It matches the Rfam family "mir-395 microRNA precursor family". Rfam says of the family: mir-395 was identified in both Arabidopsis thaliana and Oryza sativa computationally and was later experimentally verified. mir-395 is thought to target mRNAs coding for ATP sulphurylases. The mature sequence is excised from the 3' arm of the hairpin. The record is from miRBase by way of RNAcentral. Lineage: Eukaryota; Viridiplantae; Streptophyta; Magnoliopsida; Brassicales; Brassicaceae.
GCCAAAUGUCCCCAUGAGUUCCCUUUAACGCUUCAUUGUUAAAUACUCAAAGCCACAUUGGUUUGUAUAUAACACUGAAGUGUUUGGGGGGACUCUUGGUGCCAUUUUGGC